Molecule: unclassified non-coding RNA, 240 nt
Filed under: soil metagenome
Description: partial contains 5.8S ribosomal RNA, internal transcribed spacer 2, and large subunit ribosomal RNA
Source: RNAcentral
AAGACUAUAGACCUGCGGAGUACCUGCGGAGGGAUCAUUACAUGGCGGAGGAGGUGGGCACCUAGUAAAAACAAAACCCUAGGUGUGUUGCCUACCACGCUUUCUACCCUUGUCUAUUUGCACCUUUUGUCGUUCCCUCGGUGGGUCUUGAACCUGCCGGCGGCAACUUUCAAAAACCUUUUGUAGUUAGUAUCUAAUUCUUCUGAUCAAAUAUUCAAUCGUUACAACUUUUAACAAUGG